RNAcentral lists this long non-coding RNA (1206 nucleotides) under Gorilla gorilla (western gorilla). Its description in RNAcentral is "long non-coding RNA NONGGOT013730". Lineage: Eukaryota; Metazoa; Chordata; Mammalia; Primates; Hominidae. The record is from RNAcentral.
CUUGUUUUGUUUUUCAGAGUCAAGGAAACUUAUUUUGAGCUAUUUAUAACCUUUAAUAAUUGGGUAAGGUAUACUCCUGUGAACAAAAUUUGGAGCACAUUUGGUCUCUCUCUCUCUCUGCCUGGCUUCUCUAGAAUUUCAAAACUAGCUGUGAGUAUUCUUAACUUAUGACAAUAUAGUUGUUUGCAUCAGUGCAAUAAGAAUUCAUUUUUCUUUUUCAACAGGAUGCAACUGGAAAAACUUGUUGUUUCACCAAGGCUUUGACUGGAAGGGUACAUUUCCCUUUAAGGAGUUAAGCUUGACUUGGCAGAGCUGAUAAAAGCCUCUUGGAAAAACUGGCCUUAUACCUUGUUACACAGUCCCCAAACAAGGUUCCUAACCAGCAGUGAGUAAAGAAUGUCACUUUCCAACAGGCCCAGGAAUCACGUGCUCUUGGGACCUCAAGAAGAGAGGAGUUUACCCAACUCACAGGUAAUUGUGUCUCUGUAAUAUGGGACACUCACUUCAGAUGCAUCCUCCAAACUGGGAAAAGUUAAUUUUGAAAACCUUAAACUGGUUGGCUUAGGACUGGGCUCACAAAAGGUUUACCAGAAGACUGACAUGCUGGCAAAAGCAUGAAAGUUUUUUUGCCAGCUGGGCUUUUGGCCUCCGUCUCCCUGUGCAAACUGGUAAAAGGCUUUGGGAUUUUUAAGCUGUCCUUACCCCCACCACUGUUUUGUUUUAAUACAUGUUUUCUAAUAACCUGGUUUUUCUUUUCACCUUCAGGCCAUCAAACUCCAAACCAUCACGCAACCAGACUGGAGCCUCAAACAAUAACCUUUUUUGCCAGGAACCCUUUCAUAGGCCCCUGAGGGAGAUCAGACUGCUGUUUUCUGAAAACAGUACCCUCUGUCAGCAGGAAGCGGUUAAGAUUGGUCUUCAUCCUUAUCUUUAUUCUAACGGCAGUUAGAUAUACUUCUUUAGGUGCAAAAUGAUAGAUGCAGGAGGCAGAUGAGGGAACCUGCCCAGGGCAUUGUAUGUGUAUGCCUGCAAUGGACUAGGGACCCACCGGCACACUGGAAGAGUGGGGUGGAGCCACUGGAACGUUUACACUUUGUGCAGAAGGGAGGAGCCUGGCAUCUUCAGUUCCUGUGUGGUUGCCUGGUGUUCAAGAUUCCCUCUUGCUUUGCUGAGAGUUGUUUUUCCUUUUCACCCAAUAAAUUCUGC